AUGCACGCUGGCGGCGUGCCUAAUCCAUGCAAGUCGAGCGAACAGACGAGGAGCUUGCUCCUCUGACGUUAGCGGCGGACGGGUGAGUAACACGUGGAUAACCUACCUAUAAGACUGGGAUAACUUCGGGAAACCGGAGCUAAUACCGGAUAAUAUAUUGAACCGCCUGGUUCAAUAGUGAAAGACGGUUUUGCUGUCACUUAUAGAUGGAUCCGCGCCGCAUUAGCUAGUUGGUAAGGUAACGGCUUACCAAGGCGACGAUGCGUAGCCGACCUGAGAGGGUGAUCGGCCACACUGGAACUGAGACACGGUCCAGACUCCUACGGGAGGCAGCAGUAGGGAAUCUUCCGCAAUGGGCGAAAGCUUGACGGAGCAACGCCGCGUGAGUGAUGAAGGUCUUCGGAUCGUAAAACUCUGUUAUUAGGGAAGAACAAAUGUGUAAGUAACUAUGCACGUCUUGACGGUACCUAAUCAGAAAGCCACGGCUAACUACGUG
This 496-nucleotide ribosomal RNA is filed under the name uncultured bacterium. RNAcentral's name for it is "partial 16S ribosomal RNA". It matches the Rfam family "Bacterial small subunit ribosomal RNA", at positions 29 to 507 of the family's 1533-position model. The record is from RNAcentral.